Molecule: ribosomal RNA, 253 nt
Filed under: uncultured bacterium
Lineage: Bacteria
Description: partial 16S ribosomal RNA
Rfam family: Bacterial small subunit ribosomal RNA
Source: RNAcentral
UACAGAGGGUGCAAGCGUUAAUCGGAAUUACUGGGCGUAAAGCGUGCGUAGACGGUUAUGUAAGUUAGGUGUGAAAGCCCCGGGCUCAACCUGGGAAUUGCAUUUAAGACUGCAUAGCUAGGGUGCGGAAGAGGGAAGCGGAAUUUCCGGUGUAGCGGUGAGAUGCGUAGAUAUCGGAAGGAACAUCAGUGGCGAAAGCGGCUUCCUGGUCCAGCACCGACGUUCAGGCACGAAAGCGUGGGGAGCAAACAGG